AGCAGCCGCGGUAAUUCCAGCUCCAAUAGCGUAUAUUAAAGUUGUUGCAGUUAAAAAGCUCGUAGUUGAAUUUCGGGGUCAGUAGGUUGGUCAUGCCACUGGUAUGUACUGGUCUCACUGAUUCCUCCUUCCUGAUGAACUGUAAUGCCAUUAAUUUGGUGUUGCAGGAAUCUGGACUGUUACUUUGAAAAAUUAGAGUGUUUAAAGCAGGCUAACGCCUGAAUACAUUAGCGUGGAAUAAUGAAAUAGGACGUUCGAUCCUAUUUUGUUGGUUUCUAGGAUUGACGUAAUGAUUAAUAGGGAUAGUUGGGGGCAUUAGUAUUCAAUUGUCAGAGGUGAAAUUCUUGGAUUUUAUUGAAGACUAACUACUGCGAAAGCAUUUGCCAAGGAUGUUUUCAUUAAUCAAGAACGAAAGUUAGGGGAUCGAAGACGAUCAGAUACCGUCGUAGUCUUAACCAUAAACUAUGCCGACUAGGGAUCGGAUGAUGUUAAUUUUUAAUGUACUCA
This 507-nucleotide ribosomal RNA is filed under the name uncultured Glomus. RNAcentral describes it as "SSU rRNA". It matches the Rfam family "Eukaryotic small subunit ribosomal RNA", at positions 569 to 1078 of the family's 1831-position model. The record is from RNAcentral. Lineage: Eukaryota; Fungi; Glomeromycota; Glomeromycetes; Glomerales; Glomeraceae.